UCCUUCCUGAAGCGGCUCCACCAUAAGGAGCUGGUACAGAUCCUUCCUGAAGCGGCUCCACCAUAAGGAGCUGGUACAGAUCCUCCCUGAAGCGGCUCCACCAUAAGGAGCUGGUACUUGCAGAUCAACCGGAGGCUCAGCGGGGGGGUUGGUGGGACCCUCUCUUUGGUAUUUUGUGGAGGUUGACAACGUCACCCUCAGUGCGCUGAACGACUCGGACGUGACCAGUGACCUGGUGGACCUGGUGGGGCCCGGAUAGGGCCCCGGCCCCAAGAAACUCAACAACUUUGAUCAAGAUAAUCUGAACUUGGACUCCAGCCUCAUCAUGAGCUCCACUCACCUCCCGUUGCUGUCCCGCUGACCCCCAGGGGCCAAGGAGGAGAGAGACGUUUUUUCUCCUUGACCCCCAGGGGCCAAGGAGGGGCCGACCGGGCCCUGUGGGCCCUCUCCUAUAGACCGGGCCCUCUCCUAUAGACUGGGGGAGGUGGCCCUGUCCUAUACACCAGCCCUGUGUCUCUGUGGACCUGCAGACUGCCUCCUUGUCUCUCCUCUUCGUAUGGCAGCUCUGUGACUGUGGAACCAUGUGAAGUGCUGCACUUGUUCCUACUGAGAACUUUGUUGCUUUCAGUUUCAAUAUAGAACUUGUCUAACGUCAAGAUCAAGGGAGGCCUGAAUUAAUCACAAUAGAUUUCAAUAUGUUUAUUAAGUCAAUUAUAGAUUUUUCCUUUGAAAUUGCAAUGAAACUAAUGCAUAAUUGAAAAAUAAAAAUGAAAUAUUUGGCCUAAGAAAUGUCAGGAAUUGUGCAAAAGGAAAAACGUCUCUCUCUUUCUCGCUCUCAGUCUCGCUCGCCAGGUUGUUGUUCUCCGGGGCUCCAGCUGGAUACUAUUGGGUCUGUGCGUAAACUAGGCAGCGAUCAGAGUUUCCUUUCUGCCGGCGUUCGGGAAUGUUUUUAAUUUAUAGCUUUAUUAUAUGAAUAAAAUCAAUACUUUAAAAACAGCGGCGUUGCUGUUGUAUUUUCGUCUUUAAUGUGUAGUUAUAUGUUUUUAGAGUUUAACCGAAGUUCACCUCGUAUGUAAUCUGGCCAAAAAAUAUAUACUGCCAGCAGUUCUCGUUUUGUCCAUCAGAGGGCAGGCGUUGACUGACUGUGAAACAAAGCGUAUGGGAAUGUCUUAAGUUGUAACAUUAUUCCAUUAACGAAGUCAAAAUCUUAACUUGCUGUUUGGUUCAUUUGAUUGCAUAAAUAGUAUUUCAUGGAACACCAAUCUCGAAACGUAUGCUAUGACAACGACCUACCUAU
Molecule: long non-coding RNA, 1297 nt
Organism: Gadus chalcogrammus (walleye pollock)
Lineage: Eukaryota; Metazoa; Chordata; Actinopteri; Gadiformes; Gadidae
Exons: 3
Source: RefSeq, a predicted model, not a curated record